GAGAAACUCGGAAGUUGAUAAGGGGAAAUAACGGUGAAGCAUUAGCAGGAUCACCAAUAAGGUAUUGUAGGAGCUUUAUUUUAUUUUCUGUUCUUCUAUUAGAUUGAGUUGAUAGGCAUAGCUCAUGGAGAACUGGAGAAUAGCCGUGUAAUGGGUGGGAAAUAUUUAGUACAUAACCGGCGUAGGAAAGAAGAGAUCUUUGGCAGCAGAGUCGGAGGCUAUGUGUGUGUGUAUUUAUUUACGAUUGGAAAAUACCCAAAAAUAUUAGUAGUUAAUUGCUUCU
Cinara cedri is the source of this 283-nucleotide non-coding RNA. Lineage: Eukaryota; Metazoa; Arthropoda; Insecta; Hemiptera; Aphididae. The record is from the annotation of a GenBank genome assembly.